RNAcentral lists this ribosomal RNA (274 nucleotides) under uncultured bacterium. Its description in RNAcentral is "partial 16S ribosomal RNA". It matches the Rfam family "Bacterial small subunit ribosomal RNA", at positions 523 to 796 of the family's 1533-position model. The record is from RNAcentral.
AUACGGAGGGUGCAAGCGUUAUCCGGAAUCAUUGGGUUUAAAGGGUCCGUAGGCGGACUAUUAAGUCAGAGGUGAAAUCCCACAGCUCAACUGUGGAACUGCCUUUGAUACUGGUAGUCUUGAGUUAUAUGGAAGUAGAUAGAAUGUGUAGUGUAGCGGUGAAAUGCAUAGAUACUGCACAGAAUACCGAUUGCGAAGGCAGUCUACUACGUAUAUACUGACGCUAAGGGACGAAAGCGUGGGGAGCGAACAGGAUUAGAUACCCUAGUAGUCC